Molecule: unclassified non-coding RNA, 606 nt
Filed under: Hevea brasiliensis (rubber tree)
Lineage: Eukaryota; Viridiplantae; Streptophyta; Magnoliopsida; Malpighiales; Euphorbiaceae
Source: RNAcentral
AUAAAAUGUUGCUAUAAAUCGUCUACACUGUUAAAAUCAUGUGAGAACCAAUGCUUCGGUUUAUUACUAGUUAUUCAUUUACUUUUUUAACAGCCAAAAUGUCUAAAUAGUGACUGCCAAAGACGAACCCAAACAUUUAACUAAGCUUGUGUUAGAGAAAACGUAUUUCGAUUUUCUUUGUUACUCAUUUCCUCCGGGGUCUUGAUACCUUCACUUAGGGAGCAGUCUGUCAAUUGCAAAAAGAUAACCACCUACAACAACAAAGGAAGCAAUUCCGCUCCGUGCCAUCCGCAAUCCCAAGCCACGAUAUAAGAUGUUUCUAUCUGCAGGAUGAAUCCCGGUCCAUCUCUCAAAUCUCUUCCCGGGCAGUUGAAAUUUGAGAAACCUUCUCUCCAUGGAUACAAACUUGGGCAGCACAAUGCAUUGUGAACGAGACCUGGCAGUAUCAAAACAAUGAGAAGCAGCAGCAGCAAGUGAACCAGAGAAUCCAGCUGCAAGACUAACAGCUAAAGGGGACAAUGGACCAACUUCUUCAUCAAAUCUAGGUGGGGGAUUCAUUCCAACUGCUUUCCAUUCAAGCAUUGCUUGAUGUAGGAUUUGCCAUGU